RNAcentral lists this transfer RNA (77 nucleotides) under Nannocystis bainbridge. RNAcentral's name for it is "tRNA-Arg". It matches the Rfam family "tRNA". From Rfam's summary of the family: Transfer RNA (tRNA) molecules are approximately 80 nucleotides in length. Their secondary structure includes four short double-helical elements and three loops (D, anti-codon, and T loops). The record is from RNAcentral. Lineage: Bacteria; Pseudomonadati; Myxococcota; Nannocystales; Nannocystaceae.
GCUCGCAUAGCUCAGUUGGAUAGAGCGACAGUUUCCUAAACUGUAGGUCCCAGGUUCGAUUCCUGGUGCGGGCGCCA